This 253-nucleotide ribosomal RNA is filed under the name uncultured bacterium. RNAcentral's name for it is "partial 16S ribosomal RNA". It matches the Rfam family "Bacterial small subunit ribosomal RNA", at positions 524 to 776 of the family's 1533-position model. The record is from RNAcentral.
UACGGAGGAUGCAAGCGUUAUCCGGAAUGAUUGGGCGUAAAGCGUCCGCAGGUGGCAAUGUAAGUCUGCUGUCAAAGCGUCUGGCUCAACCAGAUAAAGGCAGUGGAAACUACAUAGCUAGAGUAAGGCAGGGGUAGAGGGAAUUCCUGGUGUAGCGGUGAAAUGCGUAGAGAUCAGGAAGAACACCGGUGGCGAAAGCGCUCUGCUGGACCUAAACUGACACUGAGGAACGAAAGCUAGGGGAGCGAAUGGG